RNAcentral lists this ribosomal RNA (570 nucleotides) under uncultured fungus. RNAcentral's name for it is "eukaryotic LSU rRNA". It matches the Rfam family "Eukaryotic large subunit ribosomal RNA", at positions 71 to 647 of the family's 3401-position model. Lineage: Eukaryota; Fungi. The record is from RNAcentral.
AGGAUUCCCCUAGUAACGGCGAGUGAAGCGGGAUGAGCUCAAAUUUAAAAUCUGGUGUCCUUUGGGCAUCCGAGUUGUAGUCUAGAGAAGCAUUUUCCGUGUCGGACCAUGUACAAGUCUCCUGGAACGGAGCGUCAUAGAGGGUGAGAAUCCCGUUCUUGACAUGGACCCCCGAUGCUCUGUGAUGUGCUCUCAAAGAGUCGAGUUGUUUGGGAUUGCAGCUCAAAAUGGGAGGUAAAUUCCUUCUAAAGCUAAAUAUUGGCGAGAGACCGAUAGCGAACAAGUACCGUGAGGGAAAGAUGAAAAGCACUUUGGAAAGAGAGUUAAACAGUACGUGAAAUUGUUAAAAGGGAAACGAUUGAAGUCAGUCGCGUCUGCUUGGACUCAGCCUUACUUCGGUUUGGUGCAUUUCCUUGUAGACGGGCCAGCGUCAAUGUUAUCCGCUGGAAAAAGGUGUAGGGAAUGUGACUCUUUCGGGAGUGUUAUAGCCCUAUAUCAUAUGCAGUGGGUGAUAUUGAGUGUAACAGCACGCUUUUGUGGUGCUUGUGUUGGCAUAAUGGCUUUAAACGA